UACCUCAGUAACGGCGAGUGAAGCGGUAACGGCUCAAAUUUGAAAUCGGCCACCCGGUCGAGUUGUAAUUUGCAGAGGAUGCUUCGGCUUACGCCCCGGUCCAAGUCCGUUGGAACACGGCGUCGCAGAGGGUGAGAAUCCCGUUGCGGCCGGCGGCCACGCCAUGUGAAGCUCCUUCGACGAGUCGAGUUGUUUGGGAAUGCAGCUCAAAAUGGGAGGUAAAUUUCUUCUAAAGCUAAAUAUUGGCCCGAGACCGAUAGCGCACAAGUAGAGUGAUCGAAAGAUGAAAAGCAUCUUGGAAAGGAAUCGAAACAGCACGUGAAAUUGUUGAAGGGGAAGCGCUCGCGGCGAGAGCCCGCGCGGUCGUUCACCGGGGCCUCGCGCCCCGGGCACGCGGCCGCGUCGGCCAGCAUCGGUUCGGGCGGCGGGAGAAACGCCGACGGCAUGUGGCUCCCCUCGGGGAGUGUUAUAGCCGCGGCGCAAUACCGCCCGCCUGGACCGUGGCACGCGCUCUCGCUCGGAUGCUGGCGUAAUCGCCGCGAGCGGCCCGUCUUGAAACACGGACCAAGGAGUCGACCAACGGCGCGAGUGUGAGGGUGUCAAGCCCUGGCGCGGAAUGAAAGUGAUCGAGGUGCGAAACUCGUUGGCAGCAUCGCCCGGUCCUGAAGUUUACGGAUGGAUCUGAGGAAGAGCGCCGCUGGUCGGACCCGAAAGAUGGUGAACUAUGCCUGAAUAGGGUGAAGUCAGAGGAAACUCUGAUGGAGGCUCGCAGCGGUUCUGACGUGCAAAUCGAUCGUCAAAUCUGGGCAUAGGGGCGAAAGACUAAUCGAACCAUCUAGUAGCUGGUUCCUGCCGAAGUUUCCCUCAGGAUAGCAGUAACGCGUUCAGUUUCAUGAGGUAAAGCGAAUGAUUAGAGGCUCGGGGGCCGAAACGGCCUUCACCUAUUCUCAAACUUUAAAUAUGUGAGACGGGCUUUGUGACUUGAUUGCACGCGCCCCUCCGAAUGGAACGUUACUAGUGGGCCAUUUUUGGUAAGCAGAACUGGCGAUGCGGGAUGAACCGAACGCGGGGUUAAGGUGCCGGAAUGCACGCUCAUCAGACACCACAAAGGGUGUUGAUACAUCUAGACAGCCGGACGGUGGCCAUGGAAGUCGGAACCCGCUAAGGAGUGUGUAACAACUCACCGGUCGAAUGUAUCAGCCCCGAAAAUGGAUGGCGCUCAAGCGUGCUACCCAUACCCCGCCGCCAGGGUAGAUUCGAUGCCCUGGCGAGUAGGCAGGCGUGGAGAUGCGUGACGAAGC
This 1301-nucleotide ribosomal RNA is filed under the name Arthrographis sp. Its description in RNAcentral is "partial large subunit ribosomal RNA". It matches the Rfam family "Eukaryotic large subunit ribosomal RNA", at positions 76 to 1409 of the family's 3401-position model. The record is from RNAcentral. Lineage: Eukaryota; Fungi; Ascomycota; Dothideomycetes; Eremomycetales; Eremomycetaceae.